RNAcentral lists this small RNA (97 nucleotides) under Salmonella enterica subsp. enterica serovar Typhimurium. Its description in RNAcentral is "RtT RNA". It matches the Rfam family "RtT RNA", at positions 18 to 118 of the family's 130-position model. From Rfam's summary of the family: This family represents a bacterial cis-regulatory element known as RtT RNA. Lineage: Bacteria; Pseudomonadati; Pseudomonadota; Gammaproteobacteria; Enterobacterales; Enterobacteriaceae. The record is from RNAcentral.
AAGGAUGAGAAGCUUCGACUAAGGUUCGAUUCGAGCGCAGCGAGACGUUGCCGCAGGCAAACCCGAAGGGCGAAGCGCGCAGCGCUGAGUCAUCCUU